Molecule: long non-coding RNA, 290 nt
Filed under: Paramuricea clavata
Lineage: Eukaryota; Metazoa; Cnidaria; Anthozoa; Malacalcyonacea; Plexauridae
Source: RNAcentral
CAUAGAUAUCUUAUAUAUACUAGAUAGCGCAUCUCUUUUAGUAAAAUUGAAGCCAAGAAUAUUCCAGCAGUUACCCCCAUUUGAAUAGAUGGCGGCCAUGUUGGUCGUUCCCACUUGCUAAUAAACGCUUAAAAACAACAAUAACUUUCAUUAUUUGAAUGGUUUAAAAACGCAUUUGGAAUAGGGUUAACUUAGUGUUUUUAAACUUAAAAGUUCCCUGUUUAAAAAAUAGAAAACAUACGAAUCUUCUCAUUUCAUGGGAACGACCUGAGACUGCAAUCACGGCUUCA